ACUCCUACGGGAGGCAGCAGUGGGAAUAUUGGACAAUGGGGGAAACCCUGAUCCAGCCAUGCCGCGUGCAGGAAGACUGCCCUAUGGGUUGUAAACUGCUUUUGUACAGGAAGAAACACUCCCUCGUGAGGGAGCUUGACGGUACUGUAAGAAUAAGGAUCGGCUAACUCCGUGCCAGCAGCCGCGGUAAUACGGAGGAUCCAAGCGUUAUCCGGAAUCAUUGGGUUUAAAGGGUCCGUAGGUGGAUGAUUAAGUCAGAGGUGAAAUCCUGCAGCUCAACUGUAGAAUUGCCUUUGAUACUGGUUGUCUUGAAUUAUUGUGAAGUAGUUAGAAUAUGUGGUGUAGCGGUGAAAUGCAUAGAUAUCACAUAGAAUACCGAUUGCGAAGGCAGAUUACUAACAAUACAUUGACACUGAUGGACGAAAGCGUGGGGAGCGAACAGGAUUAGAUACCCUGGUAGGCUCUG
RNAcentral lists this ribosomal RNA (466 nucleotides) under uncultured bacterium. RNAcentral's name for it is "bacterial SSU rRNA". It matches the Rfam family "Bacterial small subunit ribosomal RNA", at positions 335 to 799 of the family's 1533-position model. The record is from RNAcentral.